RNAcentral lists this transfer RNA (71 nucleotides) under Loxodonta africana (African savanna elephant). It matches the Rfam family "tRNA". From Rfam's summary of the family: Transfer RNA (tRNA) molecules are approximately 80 nucleotides in length. Their secondary structure includes four short double-helical elements and three loops (D, anti-codon, and T loops). Further hydrogen bonds mediate the characteristic L-shaped molecular structure. tRNAs have two regions of fundamental functional importance: the anti-codon, which is responsible for specific mRNA codon recognition, and the 3' end, to which the tRNAs corresponding amino acid is attached (by aminoacyl-tRNA synthetases). tRNAs cope with the degeneracy of the genetic code in two manners: having more than one tRNA (with a specific anti-codon) for a particular amino acid; and 'wobble' base-pairing, i.e. permitting non-standard base-pairing at the 3rd anti-codon position. The record is from Rfam by way of RNAcentral. Lineage: Eukaryota; Metazoa; Chordata; Mammalia; Proboscidea; Elephantidae.
GCAGUGGUACUUCAGUGGUAGAAUUCUCGCCUUCCAUGUGGGAGACCCAGGUUUGAUUCCCGGCCAGUGUA